AGAUUGAACGCUGGCGGCAUGCUUUACACAUGCAAGUCGAACGGUAACAGGCCGCAAGGUGCUGACGAGUGGCGAACGGGUGAGUAAUGCAUCGGAACGUGCCCAGUCGUGGGGGAUAACGCAGCGAAAGCUGUGCUAAUACCGCAUACGAUCUAUGGAUGAAAGCGGGGACCGAAAGGCCUCGCGCGAUUGGAGCGGCCGAUGUCAGAUUAGCUAGUUGGUGGGGUAAAGCCCACCAAGGCGACGAUCUGUAGCUGGUCUGAGAGGACGACCAGCCGCACUGGAACUGAGACACGGUCCAGACCUCCGUACGGGAGGCAGCAGGUGGGGUAAUUUUGGACGAAGUGGGACGCAAGCCGUGACUCCAGCCAAUCGCCGCGU
RNAcentral lists this ribosomal RNA (381 nucleotides) under uncultured soil bacterium. RNAcentral's name for it is "bacterial SSU rRNA". It matches the Rfam family "Bacterial small subunit ribosomal RNA", at positions 26 to 402 of the family's 1533-position model. The record is from RNAcentral.